This 221-nucleotide ribosomal RNA is filed under the name uncultured bacterium. RNAcentral's name for it is "partial 16S ribosomal RNA". It matches the Rfam family "Bacterial small subunit ribosomal RNA", at positions 113 to 334 of the family's 1533-position model. The record is from RNAcentral.
CGACGUGAGUAAUCUUCCUUAGAGUGGGGGAUAACCAGUCGAAAGACUGGCUAAUACCGCAUAUGACCACAGGAUCUGCGGAUCCAGGGGUAAAAGGUUUUUCGCUCUAAGAUGAGCUCGCGUAAGAUUAGCUAGUUGGUGAGGUAACGGCUCACCAAGGCAACGAUCUUUAACAGGUCUGAGAGGAUGAUCUGUCACACUGGAACUGAGACACGGUCCAG